Molecule: ribosomal RNA, 433 nt
Filed under: uncultured bacterium
Lineage: Bacteria
Description: partial 16S ribosomal RNA
Rfam family: Bacterial small subunit ribosomal RNA
Source: RNAcentral
AACGAACGCUGGCGGCAUGCCUAACACAUGCAAGUCGAACGAGACCUUCGGGUCUAUUGGCGCACGGGUGCGUAACGCGUGGUAACCUGCCCUUAGGUUCGGAAUAACUCCCCGAAAGGGGUUCUAAUACCGGUUAAUGUCUUCGGACCAAAGAUUUAUCGCCCUUGGAUGGGCCCGCGUUGGCUUAGCUAGUUGGUAGGGUCAAAGCCUACCAAGGCGACGAUCCAUAGCUGGUCUGAGAGGAUGCUCAGCCACACUGGGACUGCGCCACGGCCCAGACUCCUACGGGCGGCAGCAGUGGGGAAUACUGGACAAUGGGCGCAAGCCUGAUCCAGCAAUGCCGCGUGAGUGAUGAAGGGCUUAGGAGUGUAAAGCCCUAUUACCCGGGAUGAUAAUGACAGUACCGGGAGAAUAAGCUCCGGCUAAAUCCGUG